CAAUAGCGUAUAUUAAAGUUGUUGCAGUUAAAAAGCUCGUAGUUGGAUUUCUGGUUGAAGCGACCGGUCGGGCGUUGAUUCGUCUGCACUGGAGUCGGUUUUGGCCAUCCUCUAGGAAAGUGCGUCUGGUAUUAAGUUAUCAGGCGUAUGAUCCUGGUCUUUUACUGUGAAAAAAUUAGAGUGUUUAAAGCAGGCCUUCGCCUUGAAUACAUUAGCAUGGAAUAAUAAGAUAGGACUUUGGUCUAUUUUGUUGGUUUGCAGACCGAAGUAAUGAUUAAUAGGGAUAGUUGGGGGUAUUUAUAUUCCGAUGUCAGAGGUGAAAUUCUUAGAUUUUCGGAAGAUAAACUUAUGCGAAAGCAUUUACCAAGGAUGUUUUCAUUAA
This 382-nucleotide ribosomal RNA is filed under the name uncultured eukaryote. RNAcentral describes it as "partial 18S ribosomal RNA". It matches the Rfam family "Eukaryotic small subunit ribosomal RNA", at positions 592 to 976 of the family's 1831-position model. The record is from RNAcentral.